AACGACCGGUCGGACCCGUAUGCCUAGCGGCCCGCGAGCCCGACCCACAAGUGGAGGCUUUCGAACUCCCACCUGACCGCCCCCAGGGCGGCGGGUCACCGGUCAGACGGUCCCGUCCCAGCGGCGGCGAUCCGUCCGAAAGCGCGCCCCGCGGCUCUCCGCGGCGGUGCUCCGGUAGUUCGAGGAGCCCCGCCUGGGAAUCGUCCGGGGCAUUUUUU
Molecule: non-coding RNA, 218 nt
Filed under: Streptomyces swartbergensis
Lineage: Bacteria; Bacillati; Actinomycetota; Actinomycetes; Kitasatosporales; Streptomycetaceae
Description: Streptomyces RNA 1601
Rfam family: Streptomyces RNA 1601
About the family: Identified by deep sequencing of transcriptome at the end of exponential growth phase.
Source: Rfam by way of RNAcentral